CUCUGACUACUACAUUAUUAAAAACACCAAGGUCAAGUCCAUAUCAAACAUUAUCAACCAUCUCUGACUACUACAUUAUUCAAAACACCAAGGUAAAGUCAAUAUCAACCAUCUCUAACUACUACAUUAUUAAAAACAGCAAGGUCAAGUCCAUAUCAAACAUUAUCAACCAUCUCUGACUACUACAUUAUUCAAAACACAAAGGUAAAGUCAAUAUCAAACAUUAUCAACCAUCUCUGACUAAUACAUUAUUCAAAACACCAAGGUAAAGUCCAUAUCAACCAUCUCUAACUACUACAUUAUUCAAAACACCAAGGUCCAGUCCAUAUCAACCAUCUCUGACUACUACAUUAUUCAAAACACCAAGGUAAAGUCAAUAUCAACCAUCUCUGACUACUACAUUAUUAAAAACACCAAGGUCAAGUCCAUAUCAAACAUUAUCAACCAUCUCUGACUACUACAUUAUUCAAAACACCAAGGUAAAGUCCAUAUCAACCAUCUCUGACUACUACAUUAUUCAAAACACCAAGGUAAAGUCAAUAUCAACCAUCUCUAACUACUACAUUAUUCAAAACACCAAGGUCAAGUCAAUAUCAAACAUUAUGAACCAUCUCUGACUACUACAUUAUUCAAAACACCAAGGUCAAGUCAAUAUCAACCAUCUCUAACUACUACAUUAUUCAAAACACCAAGGUCAAGUCCAUAUCAAACAUUAUCAACCAUCUCUGACUACUACAUUAUUCAAAACACCAAGGUCAAGUCAAUAUCAACCAUCUCUGACUACUACAUUAUUCAAAACACCAAGGUCAAGUCAAUAUCAACCAUCUCUGACUACUACAUUAUUCAAAACACCAAGGUAAAGUCCAUAUCAAACAUUAUCAACCAUCUCUGACUACUACAUUAUUCUCUGCUGACAUUUUCCUUUUCACCGUCUAGAUGAAAUACUGAAACAUCAUGUUUUGUACUUUGCUUUCAUCUUCAGAGAUUGUUUUGUUUGUCCCCAGAGGAAGAGCUGUGAUAUAAACUGUACUGAAACUGGCCAAGCAUGAAACACUAUAGUAUUGCCUUCUGAUUGUUACCAGGUACAAACAGAGUCAGUGUGGUAACAGGAACACUAACAUCCCACUGUUUGGGUCUUGUAACAUCUUAACACAAGACUGUAUUGUAAUGGGAUA
Long non-coding RNA from Oncorhynchus keta (chum salmon), 1175 nucleotides. RefSeq lists it as uncharacterized. The record is from RefSeq and is a predicted model, not a curated record. Lineage: Eukaryota; Metazoa; Chordata; Actinopteri; Salmoniformes; Salmonidae. The transcript is spliced from 3 exons.